RNA transcript from Anguilla rostrata (American eel), 2180 nucleotides. RefSeq lists it as uncharacterized. NCBI's taxonomy places the organism in Eukaryota, Metazoa, Chordata, Actinopteri, Anguilliformes, Anguillidae. The record is from RefSeq and is a predicted model, not a curated record. The transcript has 2 exons.
GUCACAAGCAUCAAAGCAAAUGUGAUUAGGGUAUCAGUGGAUUUUAAAUUGCCCCAAUCUAGGCAGAUAAUCUAUGGGUCUCACCUCCUCAGAAGAGACAAACCAGAUGACACAGAACACCACAUCGCGGGUCAGAGACCCUGCAUAGCUACGCGCCUAACAUUUCUCUUUACCAUGUCCUCUUUAAGUUUGAAUGCAAUCUUUAGGUAGGCCAGUCCUUGUCAUAAAUUAGUCUGACCCCCCCCCCCCUUCCCUUCACUCCUACACCUCAACUCGGCAUCAUCCAAUCAGGGCAAACAUCCUCAAGCCAUGCUAGGUAAGGUAUUUAAGAGAAAAAGCUGUGAUUUGCGUUUGGUUUCUGAGCCUGGAAGUAGAAGUUUACAUCUUUUUAUUUUGGUGGCGGUUCCUUGGUUGUGUGUGUUUUUAGCUUGUUUCCUUUCAUCCUGUGGCACUUAUACUGGAAGUGGGUGAUACUUUGGCAAGACAGGUGCAUUAUGGGACACACACGUUUCCUCUGCAUUCUCCUGCUGGCUCUCAGCCUGGCGUCUGUCUCAGGCCACCCUGAGGACACUCUGGAAGAAAUAAAUGAUCUUGUGGGCAAUGAUUUUGGCCACAAUUUCCCACGGCAUGGGUUGAACCUCCUGUACUGGUUCUCCAGUGAGUACAUCACGUUUGAUAACAACGACAACAUGCAACCGGCAACGGACCCCGAACAAGGUGCGUAUGGAUUUCAUAAGUAUCAAAACAGAGAGGACCUCCUCCCUUCAUUGUGCAACCAGAUUGGGUACGAAUACUACACUGUGGGCAACCUGCUCAAGAACGAAAACUUACCACAGGGCGAAAGGCUGCCAGAUUACGUCUUGGAGGAGUUCAGACAGUCCAUGACACUGAAUUCCCGCAAUCAGAACAACAAGGACCGGAUCAUCGUCAGAAGGACGCCGGGCGGCGCUAUCGACCGCGUCUACAUCACACAGCACUACGACAUCAACAGCGACCGUGGAAGCGAGUACGACCUGAACAACACUUACCGCAUCAGCAAAGACCUCAUCAAGGCUGUACGCAACCUGAUGCGUGAGAGGUUUCUCCAGCAUUUCGCCUAGAGGACCUGGAGCCCCUACAGCUCGUCUCAUCCGCACAUAUGCUUAGGCAGGUGGCCAUGAAGCACUGAGGAAUUUGAUUUGAUUUAUUUGCACUUAUCAUAUAAAAAUUACAAAAUAGAACAAAUACACUUACUUAAAACAAUACAAAGAGGACUAGUGAGAUGUUAAAAUGAGAAACAAUUUGCAAGGUACUGAGUGCGAGGCUUAUCCAUUAAGCCAGCAAUAGCUGGCUCAUUUUCAAUGGGGUCCUAGACUGGACUAUUGACAUAACUAAAUAUACAACAAAUAUACAAAUCUGGAUCUCUACAUUUAAAAAUGUCUACAGUACAAAGGCACGCACGCGCGCGCACACAUACACAGGGCAUCAACAACCACAGACAACAGUGGUAUUCUCACUUCCUUCUGGUCGAGAGAAUGUCACGCACAUCUGUGUUGCCGCUUCUCGCCGCUGCUUCUUCUCCUUCGGCGUCCAAGCUCUGUGUGUUUCCUGGUUCUGCCUUUCAUUGUUGGCAAUUGCUAGCUAAUAUACCGUCUAUAUUUUUGCUGUACAAUGCAAAUACAUCUUUUAUACUACUAUUUCCCUAGCCUUCCCCCUCUGUCCAUCACACCCCCUCCUACCACCACUGCACCACUGGUCCCAUUGCAUUUUCUCUAUUGUAUGUGUUUUUAUUGUAUCUUUGUUUCUUUGUCUUUUUUUUGUGAUAAUUAUGCUUGUAUUCCCUGUGUUGUAAAGGGUCUUUGAGACUGUGAAAAGAGCUAUAUAAAAUAAAUUUAUUAUUAUUAUUAUUAUUAUUAUUAUUAUUAUUAUUAAGGGUCACUGGGCAAGAAGAAAGCGCUUUAAAUGAUAUUUAAAUACAUUCAGAGAACUAGCCGAUUUGAUUGAGUCAGGAAGAGCAUUCCAAUCUCGGAUUCCAGUAAAAUAAAAUGAGGUUGAUGCGAUGCCUUUAAUCUUGGGAACAGCAUAAUUGAAUAGACUAUGCCUAGUGAAGUAACUAUGAACAGAAAUAAUUGUGUUACUGUUUUUAAAUCAAAAUUAAAGAUGAAUGAAUUGCAUAAUAAAAGCACAAACACUGAAAACAA